This 77-nucleotide transfer RNA is filed under the name Rhodomonas sp. CCMP768. Lineage: Eukaryota; Cryptophyceae; Pyrenomonadales; Pyrenomonadaceae. The record is from RNAcentral.
UAAAAGAUUUCAAGUCUUUCGCCUUAACCACUCGGCCAAAUGUGCAUUAGAAAUAACAAAUUUAAUUAUUAAUGUUU